Molecule: ribosomal RNA, 503 nt
Filed under: uncultured bacterium
Lineage: Bacteria
Description: partial 16S ribosomal RNA
Rfam family: Bacterial small subunit ribosomal RNA
Source: RNAcentral
GAUGAACGCUAACGGCAGGCCUAACACAUGCAAGUCGAGGGGUAGCAGGAUUAAGCUUGCUUAAUUGCUGACGACCGGCGCACGGGUGCGUAACGCGUAUGCAACCUACCUUAUACUGGGGUAUAGCCCGGAGAAAUUCGGAUUAAUCCCCCAUAGUACUAAUGAAUCGCAUGGUUUAUUAGUUAAAGCAUUGCGGUAUAAGAUGGGCAUGCGUCCUAUUAGCUAGAUGGUGAGGUAACGGCUCACCAUGGCCACGAUAGGUAGGGGGCCUGAGAGGGUGGUCCCCCACACUGGUACUGAGACACGGACCAGAUUCCUACGGGAGGCAGCAGUGAGGAAUAUUGGUCAAUGGGCGCAAGCCUGAACCAGCCAUGCCGCGUGCAGGAAGAAUGCCCUAUGGGUUGUAAACUGCUUUUAUUUGGGAAUAAACCUCUUUACGUGUAGAGAGCUGAAGGUACCAAAUGAAUAAGCACCGGCUAACUCCGUGCCAGCCGCCGCCGUAA